RNAcentral lists this ribosomal RNA (631 nucleotides) under uncultured bacterium. RNAcentral's name for it is "bacterial SSU rRNA". It matches the Rfam family "Bacterial small subunit ribosomal RNA", at positions 1 to 610 of the family's 1533-position model. The record is from RNAcentral.
AAUUCGAUUAGUUUGAUCAUGGCUCAGAAUCAACGCUGGCGGCGUGCCUCAGACAUGCAAGUCGAACGCGAAAGUCUCCUUCGGGGGGCAAGUAGAGUGGCGCACGGGUGAGUAACACGUAGGUAAUCUACCUUCGGAUGGGGAAUAACAAUCGGAAACGGUUGCUAAUACCGCAUAAUGCAGCGGCACCUAAUGGUGACAGUUGUUAAAGCGGGGGAUCGAAAGACCUCGCGUCUGAAGAGGAGCCUGCGGCGGAUUAGCUAGUUGGUAGGGUAAUGGCCUACCAAGGCAACGAUCCGUAGCCGGCCUGAGAGGGCGGUCGGCCACACUGACACUGACAUACGGGUCAGACUCCUACGGGAGGCAGCAGUCGGGAAUUUUGGGCAAUGGGCGAAAGCCUGACCCAGCAACGCCGCGUGAAGGAUGAAAUCCCUCGGGAUGUAAACUUCGCAAGAACGGGAAGAAUAAGUAGGGGACAAUACCCCCUAUGAUGACGGUACCGUUUGUAAGCUCCGGCUAACUCCGUGCCAGCAGCCGCGGUAAUACGGGGGGAGCAAGCGUUGUUCGGAUUUACUGGGCGUAAAGGGCGCGUAGGCGGCCAGUGCAAGUCAGUUGUGAAAUCUCCGAGCUU